CCAAUAGCGUAUAUUAAAGUUGUUGCAGUUAAAAAGCUCGUAGUUGAAUUUCGGGAUCAGUACGCCGGUCGUGCCUUCGGUAUGCACUGGUGUCACUGGUUUCUCCCUUCUGAAGAACCAUCAUGCCAUUAAGUUGGUGUGGCGGGGAAUCAGGACUGUUACUUUGAAAAAAUUAGAGUGUUUAAAGCAGGCUCGCGCUUGAAUACAUUAGCAUGGAAUAAUGAAAUAGGACGUUUGACCCUAUUUUGUUGGUUUCUAGGAUCGACGUAAUGAUUAAUAGGGAUAGUUGGGGGCAUUAGUAUUCAAUUGUCAGAGGUGAAAUUCUUGGAUUUAUUGAAGACUAACUACUGCGAAAGCAUUUGCCAAGGAUGUUUUCAUUAAUCAAGAACGAAAGUUAGGGGAUCGAAGACGAUCAGAUACCGUCGUAGUCUUAACCAUAAACUAUGCCGACUAGGGAUCGGAUGAUGUUAAUUUUUUAAUGACUCAUUCGGCGCCUUACG
This 500-nucleotide ribosomal RNA is filed under the name uncultured Glomeromycotina. Its description in RNAcentral is "partial small subunit ribosomal RNA". It matches the Rfam family "Eukaryotic small subunit ribosomal RNA", at positions 591 to 1092 of the family's 1831-position model. Lineage: Eukaryota; Fungi; Glomeromycota. The record is from RNAcentral.